UAUUGCACAAUGGGGGAAACCCUGAUGCAGCGACGCCGCGUGAGUGAAGAAGCGCCUCGGCGCGUAAAGCUCUAUCAGCAGGGAAGAUAAUGACGGUACCUGACUAAGAAGCCCCGGCUAACUACGUGCCAGCAGCCGCGGUAAUACGUAGGGGGCAAGCGUUAUCCGGAUUUACUGGGUGUAAAGGGAGCGUAGACGGUGAUGCAAGUCAGAAGUGAAAGCCCGGGGCUCAACUCCGGGACUGCUUUUGAAACUGUGUGACUGGAGUGCAGGAGAGGUAAGCGGAAUUCCUGGUGUAGCGGUGAAAUGCGUAGAUAUCAGGAGGAACACCAGUGGCGAAGGCGGCUUACUGGACUGUAACUGACGUUGAGGCUCGAAAGCGUGGGGAGCAAACAGG
RNAcentral lists this ribosomal RNA (397 nucleotides) under uncultured bacterium. RNAcentral describes it as "bacterial SSU rRNA". It matches the Rfam family "Bacterial small subunit ribosomal RNA", at positions 362 to 776 of the family's 1533-position model. The record is from RNAcentral.